This 427-nucleotide ribosomal RNA is filed under the name uncultured Janthinobacterium sp. RNAcentral's name for it is "bacterial SSU rRNA". It matches the Rfam family "Bacterial small subunit ribosomal RNA", at positions 355 to 774 of the family's 1533-position model. Lineage: Bacteria; Pseudomonadati; Pseudomonadota; Betaproteobacteria; Burkholderiales; Oxalobacteraceae. The record is from RNAcentral.
UGGGGAAUUUUGGACAAUGGGCGCAAGCCUGAUCCAGCAAUGCCGCGUGAGUGAAGAAGGCCUUCGGGUUGUAAAGCUCUUUUGUCAGGGAAGAAACGGUCUUGGUUAAUACCCGGGGCUAAUGACGGUACCUGAAGAAUAAGCACCGGCUAACUACGUGCCAGCAGCCGCGGUAAUACGUAGGGUGCGAGCGUUAAUCGGAAUUACUGGGCGUAAAGCGUGCGCAGGCGGUUUUGUAAGACUGUCGUGAAAUCCCCGGGCUCAACCUGGGAAUGGCGAUGGUGACUGCAAGGCUAGAGUUUGGCAGAGGGGGGUAGAAUUCCACGUGUAGCAGUGAAAUGCGUAGAUAUGUGGAGGAACACCGAUGGCGAAGGCAGCCCCCUGGGUCAAAACUGACGCUCAUGCACGAAAGCGUGGGGAGCAAACA